GACAGAGGCCUCGAGCGUUAGGCGGAAUCACUGGGCUUAAAGCGUGUGUAGGCGGAUCGUUAAGUGCCUUGUGAAAUCCCACGGCUUAACUGUGGAACGGCUGGGCAUACUGGCGGUCUUGAGCCAUCUAGGGGCGACUGGAACAAACGGUGGAGCGGUGAAAUGCGUAGAUAUCGUUUGGAACGCCAAUGGUGAAAACAGGUCGCUGGGGAUGAGCUGACGCUGAGGCACGAAGGUCAGGGGAGCAAACGGG
RNAcentral lists this ribosomal RNA (253 nucleotides) under uncultured bacterium. Its description in RNAcentral is "partial 16S ribosomal RNA". It matches the Rfam family "Bacterial small subunit ribosomal RNA", at positions 524 to 776 of the family's 1533-position model. The record is from RNAcentral.